RNAcentral lists this unclassified non-coding RNA (338 nucleotides) under uncultured bacterium. Its description in RNAcentral is "16S-23S ribosomal RNA intergenic spacer". The record is from RNAcentral.
CUAAGGAGCAUCUCUUUCGCUCGCUGCACACAGGUGUGGUUGAGGAAAGCAGAGGCCAUUUCGUUCCCGUAUGUGGAACGGUGGUUGCUCAUGGGUGGAUCGCUGACAAACUUGAUCGUCGUACGGUUUCUCCUCUGUGGGAAACCGACGAACAAUAUAUCGGCAUACUGUUGGGUCCUGAGAGAACACGCGAGUGUUUCCUCGAAGGAAGUAACGACAAAUGACUGCUGCAGUCAUACCGCAAGAAUUAUUCGUUAGAGUGGUUUUUGUUGGUGUCUGCGUGAGGUGGUUGUUUGUGUGUUGUUUGAGAACUGCACAGUGGACGCGAGCAUCUUUGU